This 178-nucleotide unclassified non-coding RNA is filed under the name uncultured fungus. RNAcentral's name for it is "sequence contains ITS1". The record is from RNAcentral. Lineage: Eukaryota; Fungi.
UCAUAUUGUAUCGGGGGGCCCUGGUAGGAGGGAAAAUCUCUCUCCUCCAUCGCCUCUGUCUGAUUCUACCCAUGAUUUUUGCGUACCCACUGUUUCCUCGGCAGGCUUGCCUGCCAGCAGGACCUCUUUAAAAACCUUUUUGUAAUUGCAAUCAGCGUCAGAUCAAACUUAAUAGUUA